UGGGUAGAAGAGCAGCAUGAGCCACUGAAGGAUGGGCGUCGUCGUUGUCCUUGACCUUUAACGUAGUUCUUCUUCACAACAGACGCCCUCUCCCACAACUCUUGAUCGAUAGACGGACGUGGAGUGCCUUCAGGAUAGCGCUCAUUCAAUAAACGCUUAUAAGUGUCCUGCAUGUCAUCAUGUUAACAAUUAAAUAGUUAAAAAUAAAUUAAUUUUGUAAGCAUUAAUUAAAGAUCAAGUUGUUAAAAUUUAUUACCGCUAUCUGGAUAGCCUCAGGCAGACCAUCACGGGUGGCCACGUACACAUCCAGCCAAUGGAUAGGCUGACCUUGAGACUGAGACUCCUAUACAAAAAUAACACAAUAUUACUAAGUAAAAAUGGGAUAUAUUUUCUACAAUUCAUGAUUGAAAACAUAUUAAAACUUGUAAAUACGUACCCUGGCAGUGAUAUACUGCAACUGUGAAAUACUGCCGCCCUUGUAUGUUCCUUUAGACUUUUCGCCAUCGGAUACACCCGAGGCUCUGUUGGUGGCGGCAGUCUUUCGUCUUUUC
This 551-nucleotide long non-coding RNA is filed under the name Panax ginseng (ginseng). RNAcentral's name for it is "long non-coding RNA (PGIN_LNC015833)". Lineage: Eukaryota; Viridiplantae; Streptophyta; Magnoliopsida; Apiales; Araliaceae. The record is from RNAcentral.